UUCCGGUUGAUCCUGCCGGAGGUUACUGCUAUCGAGGUUCGACUAAGCCAUGCGAGUCGAAUGUAGCAAUACAUGGCGAACUGCUCAGUAACACGUGGACAACCUGCCCUUAGGUUGGGUAUAAACCCGGGAAACUGGGUAUAAUACCCGAUAGGUCUCGAUUGCUGGAAUGCAUCGAGAUUUAAAGCUCCGGCGCCUAAGGAUGGGUCUGCGGCCUAUCAGGUAGUAGUGGGUGUAGCGUACCUACUAGCCUACGACGGGUAUGGGUUGUGAGAGCAAGAGCCCGGAGAUGGAUUCUGAGACACGAAUCCAGGCCCUACGGGGUGCAGCAGGCGCGAAAACUUUACAAUGCUGGCAACAGCGAUAAGGGAACCUCGAGUGCCAGGUUACAAAUCUGGCUGUCGAGAUGCCUAAAAAGCAUUUCAUAGCAAGGGCCGGGCAAGACCGGUGCCAGCCGCCGCGGUAACACCGGCGGCUCGAGUGGUAACCGUUAUUAUUGGGUCUAAAGGGUCUGUAGCCGGCCGGAUAAGUCUCUUGAGGAAUCUGGCAGCUUAACUGUCAGGCUUUCAGGAGAUACUGUCUGGCUCGAGGCCGGGAGAGGUGAGAGGUACUUCAGGGGUAGGGGUGAAAUCUUGUAAUCCUUGAAGGACCACCAGUGGCGAAGGCGUCUCACCAGAACGGACCUGACGGCAAGGGACGAAAGCUAGGGGCACGAACCGGAUUAGAUACCCGGGUAGUCCUAGCCGUAAACGAUACUCGCUAGGUGUCGGCCACGGUGCGACCGUUGUCGGUGCCGUAGGGAAGCCGUGAAGCGAGCCACCUGGGAAGUACGGCC
This 835-nucleotide ribosomal RNA is filed under the name uncultured archaeon. Its description in RNAcentral is "bacterial SSU rRNA". It matches the Rfam family "Archaeal small subunit ribosomal RNA", at positions 1 to 842 of the family's 1478-position model. The record is from RNAcentral.